Molecule: unclassified non-coding RNA, 307 nt
Filed under: plant metagenome
Description: partial contains 5.8S ribosomal RNA, internal transcribed spacer 2, and large subunit ribosomal RNA
Rfam family: 5.8S ribosomal RNA (bases 1-105)
Source: RNAcentral
GAAAUGCGAUAAGUAAUGUGAAUUGCAGAAUUCAGUGAAUCAUCGAAUCUUUGAACGCACAUUGCGCCCGCCAGCACUCUGGCGGGCAUGCCUGGUCGAGCGUCAUUUCAACCCUCAGAACCCCUUGCGGGAUCUGGCGUUGGGGAUUGGCAUCCAGCCAGCCCCGAAAUCUAGUGGCGGUCCCUCCGCGACCUCCCCUGUGCAGUAGCGAUACCUCGCAGCGGGACAGCGGUCUGACCACGCCGUAAAACCCCCAACUUCUCAAGGUUGACCUCGAAUCAGGUAGGAAUACCCGCUGAACUUAAGC